Molecule: ribosomal RNA, 490 nt
Filed under: uncultured bacterium
Lineage: Bacteria
Description: partial 16S ribosomal RNA
Rfam family: Bacterial small subunit ribosomal RNA
Source: RNAcentral
AUUGAACGCUGGCGGCAGGCCUAACACAUGCCAGUCGAACGGUAACAGGAAGCAGCUUGCUGCUUUGCUGACGAGUGGCGGACGGGUGAGUAAUGUCUGGGAAACUGCCCGAUGGAGGGGGAUAACUACUGGAAACGGUAGCUAAUACCGCAUAACGUCGCAAGACCAAAGAGGGGGACCUUAGGGCCUCUUGCCAUCGGAUGUGCCCAGAUGGGAUUAGCUAGUAGGUGGGGUAACGGCUCACCUAGGCGACGAUCCCUAGCUGGUCUAAGAGGAUGACCAGCCACACUGGAACUGAGACACGGUCCAGACUCCUACGGGAGGCAGCAGUGGGGAAUAUUGCACAAUGGGCGCAAGCCUGAUGCAGCCAUGCCGCGUGUAUGAAGAAGGCCUUCGGGUUGUAAAGUACUUUCAGCGGGGAGGAAGGGAGUAAAGUUAAUACCUUUGCUCAUUGACGUUACCCGCAGAAGAAGCACCGGCUAACUCCGUG